Small nucleolar RNA from Cebus imitator (Panamanian white-faced capuchin), 216 nucleotides. Its record names the gene U3. It matches the Rfam family "Small nucleolar RNA U3". Rfam says of the family: Small nucleolar RNAs (snoRNAs) are involved in the processing and modification of rRNA in the nucleolus. There are two main classes of snoRNAs: the box C/D class, and the box H/ACA class. NCBI's taxonomy places the organism in Eukaryota, Metazoa, Chordata, Mammalia, Primates, Cebidae. The record is from Ensembl.
AAGACUAUACUUUCAGGGAGCAUUUUUUUACUUUGUUACUGGAAAAGUUUCCCUGAACCUGGAGAGCACCAGAAACCGUGAGGAGGAGGGGCAGUGCUCUCUCCCUAACUUAAAGCUAGCUCUUGAUUUUGCUUUGCUGCGACUGCUUUUUGCCAUUGAUGAUCGUUCUCCUCUUGCUCCUGGGGAAUAAGAGGGAGAAGAUGCAGUCCGAAUGGU